GCAAGGCACAUUGGCAUGUGCCUGUAGUUCCAGCUACUCAGGAGGCUAAGGUGGGAGGAUCCCUUGAGCCCAGGAGUUCUGAGCUGUGGUUUGCUAUGUCAUUUAGGUGUCUACAAUACAGUUUACUUCCUGGGUGCAGGGGACCACCAGAUUGUCUAAUGAGGGGUGAGCCGGCUCAAGUCAGAAACUCCCAUUAAAGCAGGUUAAAACUCCCGUGCUGAUCAGGAAUGGGAUUGCACCUGUGAAUAGCCACUGCAUUUCAGCCUGGGCAACAUAGUGAAACCCCAUCUGUA
Macaca fascicularis (crab-eating macaque) is the source of this 293-nucleotide unclassified non-coding RNA. It matches the Rfam family "Metazoan signal recognition particle RNA". Rfam says of the family: The signal recognition particle (SRP) is a universally conserved ribonucleoprotein. It is involved in the co-translational targeting of proteins to membranes. The record is from Ensembl. Lineage: Eukaryota; Metazoa; Chordata; Mammalia; Primates; Cercopithecidae.